GCGGCCGUGGCGGAGUUGGCAGACGCGCUGGGUUUAGGUCCCAGUGGGGUUCAUCCCCGCGAGGGUUCGAGUCCCUCCGGCCGUA
RNAcentral lists this transfer RNA (85 nucleotides) under Peterkaempfera bronchialis. It matches the Rfam family "tRNA". From Rfam's summary of the family: Transfer RNA (tRNA) molecules are approximately 80 nucleotides in length. Their secondary structure includes four short double-helical elements and three loops (D, anti-codon, and T loops). The record is from Rfam by way of RNAcentral. Lineage: Bacteria; Bacillati; Actinomycetota; Actinomycetes; Kitasatosporales; Streptomycetaceae.